Molecule: unclassified non-coding RNA, 2558 nt
Filed under: Hevea brasiliensis (rubber tree)
Lineage: Eukaryota; Viridiplantae; Streptophyta; Magnoliopsida; Malpighiales; Euphorbiaceae
Source: RNAcentral
GUAAUUUCUUUGAUAUCCAACAAAGGAGCCUUUUCAGGAUAAAGAUAGAAAUGUGCAGGUAGAGUCUACCAUUCUAGCUCAGCGAAGCUCCAAUACUCAUCAAUGGAGUCUCUGUUGCGUCUUCUAUCGCCAGCUACUUCAAAGCUUUCUUUAAUCAGUCCCUCUUCUUCAAUGGCUGCCUCAGCAACUUCGUUUUCUUCUUUGUCAUUCGCUUCCAUGGCCUCUCCUCCACAGCGAAAAACAUCCACUCCAAGAAAGAGAUCUUCAAAACUAGCCAAAACUACAUCUCCAAAAUUGCCCGCAAGUAAUAUAGAUCCGAACGCCUCGUCCACCGUCCCACCCAAGAAGGUUCUGGUUCCAAUUGGGUUUGGUACAGAAGAAAUGGAGGCAGUUAUUAUGGUUGAUGUUCUACGCCGAGCUGGUGCAGAGGUGAUUGUUGCUUCUGUGGAAUCACAGCUUGAGAUUGAGGCUGCUGGUGGAAUUAGACUGGUUGCUGAUACAUCUAUCUCCAACUGCGCUAAUGAAAUUUUUGAUCUUGUGGCUUUGCCGGGAGGAAUGCCUGGUUCAGCAAGGUUAAGAGAUUGUGAGGUUCUCCAGCAAAUUACAAGCAGACAAGCGGAGGACAAGAGGUUAUAUGGAGCUAUAUGUGCUGCACCAGCUGUCACACUCCUUCCAUGGGGCCUUCUUAGAAGAAAGCAGCAUUUGAUGUAAGACAACAUGUCACCCUGCAUUCAUGGAUAAGCUUCCGACCUUGUGGGCUGUUAAAUCAAAUAUUCAAGUGUCAGGAGAGCUUACAACAAGCCGUGGUCCUGGAACUUCUUUUGAGUUCGCUCUAUCCUUAGCUGAGCAGCUGUUUGGAGAGUCUACUGCCAAUGAAGUUGGAGAGUUGCUGUUGAUGCGUACUGCUGAUGACCUGCGUGGAAAAGAUGAGUUUAAUGAAGUUGAAUGGUCUAUCAACCACAAACCACGGGUAAGUUGCUUCUUUCAUCUUGUUUGAGUUUAUAACCAAGUUAGUUUGACAAUCUAGUUUGCCAAAAGAACUCUUUGUAGUUGAUUUGGGGACUUGGUAUAAAGUUUCCACAUUUAAUUAUUUGGAGUGUGGCAAAGUAUUUAAUGUGUUUGCAAGCCCCAUUCAGUGUAACCAUUCAAAUAAAAUAGGUUUCCAAACAAGCUUUUGCAUAUUUCCAUUGUAAUCCUCAUUUAUUGUAUUUCUUACUCAUAUCACUUGUCUAUGUCUAUCUUAUCACUUGUGUAUGUCUAUCUCUGGUGGAUACCAUUUUUUUAUAGAACGUUAAUUAUAGCUUGUAGAAUCCUAAAUAGGAGAGGAUUCCUAGCUUGUAAAGAACUCCUAAUAGUAUAGCACAAUCGUAGGAGAGUUUUGUACAUAUACCUGUGUAAAUUCACUUGAAAUUUAAUGACUAACCUUUUCUAUCUGUCAAAUUUUCACUUUCAUUGAACUCUAGACUUUCUGUAAUUGUUCCAAUGUCACAUAGGUUCUCAUUCCAGUUGCAAAUGGUUCUGAAGAGAUUGAAAUAGUAACUAUCGUGGACAUUUUACGGCGAGCAAAGUUGGAUGUUGUGGUUGCUUCAAUCGAAAAAUCUGUGCAAAUUUUGGCAUCUCGAGGCACAAAAAUAAUUGCUGACAAGUUAAUUGGCGAUGCUUCUGAGUCUAUAUAUGAUCUAAUAAUUCUUCCGGGAGAAAUUGCUGGGGCCAAGCGGCUACACAAAUCAAAGGUUCUGAAGAAGCUGCUUAAAGAACAAGAUGUAGCUGGAAGAAUAUAUGGGGCAGUGUGCUCUUCCCCUGCAGUUCUACAUAGUCAGGGUUUACUGAAGGAUAAGAAAGCCACUGCACAUCCUUCUGUUGUGGGCCAGCUAACCAAUGAAGUAGUGAAUGGUGCCAAAGUAGUUAUUGAUGGUAAAUUGAUCACCAGCAAGGGACUCGCUACUGUAACAGAUUUUGCAAUGGCAAUUGUGAGGAAGCUUUUUGGUCAUGCAAGGGCAAGGAGCAUAGCUGAAGGCCUUGUUUUUGACUAUCCUAGGGCAUAGGUAUAUGAAGUGAGGGUGGAAAUCAGUGCAGAUGCCCUGAGGUGCAAAGGCUAGCCACUUAACCCAGACUCUAAUCAUCCAUUGAAGGAGAUAAAUCUUCUUAGCAGCACAUAGGUCAAGGGUACGCAUGAGAGUCGAAGUAUGAUUCACAGUUUUGGCCGUUAUAUUUGGGUGUCAGGUCCAAUGCAAUUCAUGCCAGUGCUGAUUAACAGAUUCCAUAUGUUUGGUUGAGCUGAUAACUUCUCCAAAUACAUAGAUCAAUGGCGAGAUGCAUUUUUCCAUCUUGGAUUUGAUAAUUUAGUGCCAAGCAAGAUCACUGGUAAAAAAACUAGAAAUGUUCUAUUGUAAUGCAGUUUGCAGUUUAAAUUUUUUAGCAAAGUCAAAGCUUUGAGUUCCCCCUGUAUUUUCAUUGAAUCUAAGAUUAGGCAUAAAUAAAGACAUCUAUACUGGUUGCACUUUCAGUCUCUCUAUAUCGUGUUGAUACUCAGAUGAGGAUAUACAUCAGUCACCAGC